RNAcentral lists this ribosomal RNA (478 nucleotides) under uncultured bacterium. RNAcentral describes it as "partial 16S ribosomal RNA". It matches the Rfam family "Bacterial small subunit ribosomal RNA", at positions 28 to 523 of the family's 1533-position model. The record is from RNAcentral.
GACGAACGCUGGCUGCGUGCUUAACACAUGCAAGUCGAACGGUAAGGCCCUUCGGGGUACACGAGUGGCGAACGGGUGAGUAACACGUGGGUGAUCUGCCCUGCACUUCGGGAUAAGCCUGGGAAACUGGGUCUAAUACCGGAUAGGACCACUGCCUGCAUGGGUGGUGGUGGAAAGCUUUUGCGGUGUGGGAUGGGCCCGCGGCCUAUUAGCUUGUUGGUGGGGUGAUGGCCUUCCAAGGCGACGACGGGUAGCCGGACUGAGAGGAUUACCGCCCAGACUGGGACUGAGGUACGGCCCUGACUCCUACGGGAGGCAGAGGUGAGAAAUAUAGAACAAUGGGCGCGAGCCUGAUGCAGCGACGCCGCGUGAGGGAUGACGGCCUUCGGGUUGUAAACCUCUUUCAGCACCGACGAAGCGCAAGUGACGGUAGGUGCAGAAGAAGGACCGGCCAACUACGUGCCAGCAGCCGCCGUAA